Long non-coding RNA from Homo sapiens (human), 2471 nucleotides. RefSeq lists it as uncharacterized. The record is from RefSeq and is a predicted model, not a curated record. Lineage: Eukaryota; Metazoa; Chordata; Mammalia; Primates; Hominidae. The transcript is spliced from 2 exons.
CUCAGUCUCCAAAAGUGCUAGGAUUACAGGUAUGAGCCACAGCACCCGGCCCUGUUUUCCAUUUUCAAUGUAGUAUUCGAUAAAUUACAUGAGGCAGUCAACACUUUACUAUAAAAUAGCCUACAGUAAGAUAAAAUAAUCCAAAACAAGUCUAAUGUUAAGUGUUCAGAGCACAUUUAAAGUAGGCUAGGCUAAGCUAUGAUGUUUGGUAGCUUAAGUGUAUUAAAUGCAUUUUUGACUUAUGAUAUUUUGUAUUUACAAUGAGUUCAUUGAAAUGUAACCCCAUCAUAAGUCAAGGAACAUCUGUUACUGUAUAUCUUCUGUGAUAGGCAACUGAAUUUUUUUCAGAGUCCCUCCUUUAACGUGGGCACGAUGUUAAUCUUUCUAAGUAAAGGGCAUUGGAGGAAUACUACAGAGGAAGAGGUUCUCCUGCUAUUCCUGUUAUGGGCUGAGGGUUGGCUAGUGUGAGUAUGAAGACAACCAGUAAAUAUCCACAGGCCCAAAACACAAUCUGUCUGUGACCUUGCAGCUUUGGCCUGCUGAUAACCUUUUUGCACCCCUCUUCACAAGGAAACCAAAGCUCUUGCAUGGCCUGCACUGACGUUUGUGGCCUGGAGACUCACACAUCUGAAGUCACUCUUUACCAGCCUCUGCACAACCUGUGCAUAGCUCACCUGUGGCCCAGUGCUCUACACAGAUCUACCAGUCCCUCUGCAACUUCCUGUGCAGCCUAAAUGCUCUGGAUGCAUUCCACCCUAUGAGUGAAUGUCAAGAUGAAGUUACCUGAAAAUGAUGACGGAACAAGAGAAGGAGAAAGCAGCCUGGAUCACAUAUCGGCUUUGGCCUGCUUCUUUCCUGUUCUAUGGCUGUGACCUGUACCCUCCCGGAACCCUCCUUGGAAGGAACAACUUGGCUAACCUGAUUAAUGCUUAGCUGCCAAAAGAUUGAGUUCUCAAUGAAAAUCAUAUGGUAAUUUUAGUAAUACCUUUGUGUAUGACCUUGAAAAAUACAGACACAAAUUUCUAAUGCAUUUGAGGAAGUAAUAAAGUUUUAAAGAGUUAGAGGGUGAGGGAAGGAAGCAGCUUUUUUUAUCUGAAACUUGGCUGUCAAUGAUACAGAAGGGCUGGGCUCCCAGCUAAACCCCACCCAUAUGCCUGAAACUGCGGCCCCAAGUGAAAACAGCUGACCCCGUUUUUCUGCCCAAAUGUUACCUUUUUGGCCUGCCAUGCUCCUAUCCUGUGCCCAUAGAAGACUUCAGCUGGCAGAGCAACACAAGUGGCUGAGCAGCGAGCAGAGAAGCAACUGAACGUUGGAGACUAUGGAUAGAUGUGGCUAACUUCAGACAGGGCUGCUUCAGAGAGGGGCAGCCGGGCUUCAGGGAGAGAGAGAUCAUUUUCCCGACCGCUUUUCAGUCUCCUUUUCUGCUGAGAGCCAACCACUGCUCAAUAAAGUCUUCUGCAUUCAUCAACCUCUCAAACAGUUCAUGUGACUUGAUUCUUCCUGGAUGCUGGACAAGAACCUGGGUGCUGAGAGGUCAGAGGCUGCCACCUUGACCCUCCAGUGAGCUGGUUGGCACUCCCCUGUCCCUGGACGGCUGAUCUGACAGAGUAUUGGUCAUAACAUGCUUGGACUCUGGCCAGUUCCAGUGUUUGUUCGCUUCAGUUCCUGCACUUGCUCGCUCGCACCCUCCCUCCUGAGCGGAGGAGUGGCCAGCGGUGGGCAGAGUGAAAGAACCACUCCAGUUCCUGCCUGCGAAGGGGGUAAACAAAGUAUCCCAUCACAUCAAGAUACCUCUGAAUAUGAACAGCUAGGAAUCUGAUGGCUGCAAAGAUGACUAUUACCCAAAUUGUGAAGAAGAGAAAGAGAAGGAAAACCAGAACCCUGAAGAUAGACAAAAUUAUUAUGUGCAAGUAGCCAAUGACAUGAGGCAGCAGGAAUUUGACACUUUUGAUAAUGAGGCAUACCAGUGGUCAUCAUCCCAACCUACAGGAGUUCAAGGGCAUCCUAAACAAGUACAUAGCCAUAUUAGUCUUAAUGCUACUAUAGGAAAUUAUAUAGGAAAGAAAAAUCUUUUCAAUAAAUGGUGCUGGAAAAAUUAGAUGGACAUAUGGAAAAAGAUUAGUCUCAAUCCUUACCUCAUGCUACACAAAAAACUAAUUUUGAGAUGCAUCAUGGACCUAAACUCAAAAGCUAAAACUAAAAGGCUUCUAGAGAAAAACAGAAGAAUAUCUUCAUGACUGUGGGGUUGGCAAAGAUUUUUUUCCAUGAGACCGAAAAGUACCAACCUCAAAAAAACUAACACAUUGGGUUUAAUCAAAAUGUAAAACCAUAAGAGACACCGUUAAGCAAAUGAAUAAACAAGCCAGGACCAAAAGAAAAUAUUUGUAAUACAUACAUCUGACAAAGGAUGUGUAUCUAGGGGAUGGAAAGAAUUCUUACAACUCAGUAAUAAAGAUAACUCAGUUUUAAAA